GAUGAACGCUAGCGGCAGGCUUAACACAUGCAAGUCGAGGGGUAACAGAGGUAGCUUGCUACUUGCUGACGACCGGCGCACGGGUGAGUAACGCGUAUACAAUUUGCCUUAUACAGGGGGAUAGCCUUUAGAAAUGAAGAUUAAUACCCCAUGGUUUGUUAGAAUCUCCUGAUUUUAACAAUAAAGAUUUAUCGGUAUAAGAUGAGUAUGCGUUCUAUUAGCUAGAUGGUAAGGUAACGGCUUACCAUGGCAACGAUAGAUAGGGGCCCUGAGAGGGGGAUCCCCCACACUGGUACUGAGACACGGACCAG
Molecule: ribosomal RNA, 311 nt
Filed under: uncultured bacterium
Lineage: Bacteria
Description: bacterial SSU rRNA
Rfam family: Bacterial small subunit ribosomal RNA
Source: RNAcentral